CGCAUUAGAGCGCGGUCGCUCCCAGCCUGAGCGAAGAUGGCGGCCUCCAGAUUGAGCCUCUGAGAGGCAGAGGGAGGAGGCGGAGGGGGCGGGGAGGCAGCGCCGCCUCGGCACCAGGAACCCGCGGCAGCGGAGCCACUGAGCCCCAGCGAGGGAAAGGGGAAGUGGUGGCGGGGAGGAGGCCGGAGGUCGUCUCAGCCCACUCUGGACGCGGAGCCGGCGGCGGGCGGAGCUCGGGCUGGAGCCUCUCCAGCCUCCCGCAAGGUUUCAGCACAAAAUGAACAUAAUCAGGGAAAAUAAGGAUUUGGCAUGUUUCUACACAACAAAACAUUCGUGGAGGGGAAAGUAUAAGCGUGUCUUUUCUGUUGGAACCCAUGCGAUUACUACAUAUAAUCCCAAUACUUUAGAAGUAACAAAUCAGUGGCCUUAUGGAGACAUUUGCAGCAUCAGCCCUGUUGGAAGAGGACAGGGAACAGAGUUCAACCUCACAUUUCGUAAAGGCAGUGGAAAAAAGUCAGAAACUUUAAAAUUUUCUACAGAGCACAGAACAGAACUUCUUACGGAAGCAUUGAGAUUUAGGACUGAUUUUUCAGAAGGAAAAAUUAUAGGAAGGAGAUAUAACUGUUAUAAGCAUCAUUGGAGUGAUACAAGAAAACCUGUUAUUUUGGAAGUAACUCCUGGAGGCAUUGACCAGAUCAAUCCUGCAACUAACAGAGUUCUCUGUUCCUAUGACUACAGAAAUAUUGAAGGCUUUGUGGAUCUCUCUGACUGUCAAGGAGGGUUUUGUAUAAUUUAUGGAGGAUUUAGUAGAUUGCAUUUAUUUGCAUCAGAGCAAAGAGAAGAAAUUAUCAAGAGUGCAAUAGAUCAUGCUGGCAAUUACAUAGGUAUUUCAUUGCGGAUCAGAAAAGAACCUUUAGAAUUUGAGCAAUAUUUGAAUCUGCGCUUUGGAAAAUACAGCACUGAUGAAGCCAUCACAUCUUUAGCAGAGUUUGUAGUCCAAAAAAUAUCACCUAGACAUUUGGAACCUGUAAAAAGACUGCUGGCGCUUACAGAAACAUGUUUAGUGGAACGUGACCCAGCAACUUAUAAUAUUGCAACAUUGAAGCCUUUAGGAGAAGUGUUUGCAUUGGUUUGUGACUCAGAAAAUCCACAACUCUUUACCAUUGAAUUUAUAAAAGGGCAAAUACGGAAAUAUUCUUCAACAGAGAGAGACUCCUUAUUAGCAAGUUUGCUGGAUGGAGUAAGAGCCUCUGGUAAUAGAGAUGUUUGUGUGAAAAUGACACCAACCCAUAAAGGUCAGCGAUGGGGGUUACUAAGCAUGCCUGUCGAUGAGGAAGUAGAGAGCCUUCAUCUCAGAUUCCUAGCUACACCUCCAAAUGGCAACUUUGCAGAUGCUGUAUUCAGGUUCAAUGCUAAUAUUUCAUAUAGCGGCGUUCUGCAUGCAGUAACGCAGGAUGGUCUCUUCUCAGAAAACAAAGAAAAGCUGAUCAAUAAUGCCAUAACAGCAUUAUUGUCCCAAGAGGGAGAUGUUGUUGCUUCCAAUGCAGAACUAGAGAGUCAGUUCCAGGCUGUGAGGAGGCUCGUGGCUUCCAAAGCUGGUUUUCUAGCCUUUACUCAGCUUCCAAAGUUUCGGGAACGUCUGGGAGUGAAGGUAGUAAAAGCACUCAAGAGGAGCCACAAUGGAGUGAUUCAUGCAGCUGUUGACAUGCUCUGUGCCCUCAUGUGUCCCAUGCAUGAUGACUAUGACUUAAGACAAGAACAGCUCAACAAAGCUUCCCUUCUCUCUUCAAAGAAGUUUCUGGAAAACUUACUGGAGAAAUUUAAUUCCCAUGUGGAUCAUGGGACUGGUGCCCUAGUUAUUAGUUCACUCUUGGACUUCCUUACUUUUGCCCUCUGUGCUCCAUAUAGUGAGACAACUGAAGGGCAGCAGUUUGAUAUGCUCUUAGAAAUGGUAGCAUCUAAUGGAAGAACCCUCUUUAAACUCUUUCAGCAUCCUUCCAUGGCAAUUAUAAAGGGAGCUGGAUUGGUUAUGAAGGCAAUAAUAGAGGAAGGUGACAAAGAAAUUGCUACAAAAAUGCAAGAGCUUGCCCUCAGUGAAGGUGCCUUACCUCGACACUUGCAUACUGCGAUGUUUACAAUAAGCUCAGAUCAAAGGAUGCUUACAAAUAGACAGCUAAGUAGACAUUUAGUGGGCCUCUGGACAGCUGAAAAUGUAACUGCAACAAACUUGUUGAAGCGCAUUUUGCCUCCAGGCUUGCUGGCAUACUUGGACAGCUCAGAUUCAGUUCCUGAGAGGGAUGCUGAUCGGAUGCAUGUUAGAGAUAAUGUGAAAAUAGCAAUGGAUCAGUAUGGAAAAUUUAAUAAAGUUCCAGAGUGGCAAAGACUAGCUGGAAAAGCUGCUAAAGAAGUUGAAAAAUUUGCCAAAGAAAAAGUGGAUCUUGUGUUGAUGCAUUGGAGAGAUAGAAUGGGUAUUUCUCAAAAAGAGGACAGAAACAAUAUGAAUGUAAACCAAAAGCCAGUAGUUCUUCGAAAGAGAAGACAAAGAAUAAAAAUAGAAGCAAAUUGGGAUCUCUUCUAUUAUAGGUUUGGUCAGGACCAUGCCAGAUCAAACCUAAUUUGGAAUUUCAAAACACGAGAAGAAUUGAGAGAUAGUCUUGAAUCUGAAAUGAGAGCAUUUAAUAUUGAUAGAGAGCUUGGUAGUACCAGUGUGAUUGCCUGGAACCACCAUGAAUUUGAGGUUAAAUAUGAGUGCUUGGCAGAGGAAAUCAAAAUAGGAGACUAUUAUCUGAGAUUACUAUUGGAAGAAGAUGAGAAUGAAGAAAGUGGAUCAAUUAAGAGAUCGUAUGAAUUUUUCAAUGAGCUCUAUCAUCGUUUCCUGCUCACCCCAAAAGUAAACAUGAAGUGUCUAUGUUUACAAGCCCUUGCUAUUGUUUAUGGCAGAUGUCAUGAAGAAAUAGGACCUUUUACAGAUACACGAUAUAUCAUUGGAAUGUUAGAGAGGUGCACAGAUAAACUUGAACGAGAUAGAUUAAUCCUCUUCCUUAACAAGUUGAUCCUUAAUAAGAAAAAUGUUAAGGAUCUCAUGGAUUCAAAUGGGAUUAGAAUCCUUGUGGAUUUACUUACCCUUGCACAUCUCCAUGUAAGCCGAGCUACGGUACCACUGCAAAGCAAUGUAAUUGAAGCUGCUCCAGAUAUGAAGAGAGAGAGUGAAAAGGAAUGGUACUUUGGCAGUGCAGACAAAGAAAGGAGUGGCCCGUAUGGAUUUCAUGAGAUGCAAGAACUGUGGACCAAAGGAAUGUUAAAUGCAAAGACCAGAUGCUGGGCUCAAGGCAUGGAUGGAUGGCGACCACUACAGGCAAUCCCUCAGCUUAAGUGGUGUCUGUUAGCCAGUGGACAGGCUGUGCUAAAUGAAACUGACCUUGCUACCCUCAUAUUGAACAUGUUGAUCACAAUGUGUGGAUAUUUUCCAAGCAGAGACCAAGAUAAUGCCAUCAUUCGGCCUUUACCCAGAGUGAAAAGACUGCUCUCAGACAAUGCUUGCCUUCCCCAUAUUAUUCAGCUACUGCUGACCUUUGACCCUAUCCUUGUUGAGAAGGUUGCUAUUUUGUUAUACCAUAUCGUGCAAGAUAACCCACAGUUACCUCGUCUUUAUCUUAGUGGAGUAUUUUUCUUUAUCAUGAUGUAUACAGGUUCCAAUGUGCUUCCUGUGGCUCGAUUUUUGAAGUACACACAUGCCAAGCAGGCUUUCAAGUCCGAGGAGUCAAAAGGACAAGAUAUUUUUCAAAGAAGUAUACUUGGGCACAUCCUACCAGAAGCAAUGGUUUGUUACUUAGAAAAUUAUGAGUCUGAAAAGUUUUCUGAGAUUUUUCUUGGAGAAUUUGACACACCAGAAGCAAUCUGGAGCAGUGAAAUGAGGCGCCUCAUGAUAGAGAAGAUCGCUGCCCAUCUUGCUGAUUUCACACCUCGUCUUCAGAGUAACACGAGAGCACUUUAUCAAUAUUGUCCCAUCCCAGUUAUCAACUAUCCACAACUAGAAAAUGAACUAUUUUGUAAUAUUUAUUACCUCAAACAACUUUGUGAUACACUCCGAUUUCCAGAUUGGCCAAUUAAAGACCCGGUUAAACUUCUAAAAGAUACCCUUGAUGCCUGGAAGAAGGAAGUAGAAAAGAAGCCACCUACUAUGUCAAUAGAUGAUGCUUAUGAAGUGCUUAAUCUCCCUCAAGGACAGGGACCGCACGAUGAGAGCAAGAUCAGAAAAGCUUAUUUCAGACUUGCACAAAAGUACCACCCUGACAAGAAUCCAGAAGGAAGAGAUAUGUUUGAGAAAGUAAAUAAAGCAUAUGAAUUUUUAUGUACCAAAUCAGCAAAAAUAGUGGAUGGACCAGAUCCAGAGAAUAUAAUUUUAAUUCUGAAAACGCAGAGCAUUCUCUUCAACCGUCAUAAAGAAGAUUUACAGCCUUACAAAUAUGCAGGAUACCCCAUGCUGAUUAGGACUAUAACCAUGGAAACUUCAGAUGACCUCCUUUUCUCAAAAGAAUCACCUUUGUUGCCUGCUGCGGUAGAACUGGCUUUCCACACUGUCAACUGCUCAGCCCUUAAUGCUGAAGAGCUCCGACGGGAGAAUGGAAUUGAGGUGUUACAAGAGGCAUUUAGUCGCUGUGUGGCUGUCUUGAAUCGUUCUAGUAAACCAAGUGACAUGUCAGUACAGGUAUGUGGACACAUAAGCAAAUGUUAUAGUGUGGCUGCUCAGUUUGAAGAAUGCCGAGAGAAGAUUACAGAAAUGCCCAGCAUCAUCAAGGAUCUCUGUCGGGUGCUAUAUUUUGGCAAGAAUAUUCCACGGGUGGCCGCUCUUGGGGUAGAGUGUGUCAGUUCUUUUGCUGUGGAUUUCUGGCUACAGACACACCUGUUUCAAGCUGGUAUUUUGUGGUAUAUGCUUGGUUAUCUGUUUAAUUAUGACUACACCCUGGAAGAGAGUGGCAUUCAGAAAAGUGAAGAAACAAACCAGCAGGAAGUAGCCAACAGCCUUGCCAAACUGAGUGUCCGUGCUCUCAGUCGCCUUGGAGGGUAUCUGCCUGAAGAACAAGCAACUCCAGAAAAUCCAACCAUCAGGAAAAGUUUAUCUGGCAUGCUGACACCCUAUGUUGCUAGAAAACUUGGUGUGGUUAGUACUACUGAGAUUUUGAAGAUGCUUAACAGCAACACAGAGAACCCCUAUUUGAUAUGGAACAAUUCUACAAGGGCAGAGCUACUUGAAUUUCUUGAAUCCCAACAAGACAACAUGAUUAAAAAAGGUGAUUGUGACAAAACUUAUGGAUCCGAAUUUGUCUAUAGUGAUCACGCCAAAGAACUUAUUGUAGGCGAGAUUUUUGUUAGGGUAUAUAAUGAAGUCCCUACUUUCCAGCUAGAGGUUCCAAAAGCGUUUGCUGCAAGUCUCUUGGAUUACAUAGGCUCACAGGCCCAGUACCUCCACACAUUCAUGGCUAUCACACAUGCUGCAAAAGUGGAGUCCGAACAACACGGAGACCGCUUGCCAAGAGUGGAAAUGGCUUUGGAGGCUCUGAGAAAUGUCAUAAAAUAUAAUCCAGGCUCUGAAAGUGAAUGCACUGGGCACUUUAAAUUAAUAUUUUCUCUUCUCCGAGUCCAUGGAGCUGGUCAAGUGCAGCAAUUGGCUUUGGAGGUUGUGAAUAUAGUGACAUCGAACCAAGAUUGUGUCAACAAUAUUGCUGAAUCAAUGGUUUUGUCCAAUUUAUUGGCUCUUCUACAUUCAUUACCUUCAAGUCGCCAGCUUGUUCUAGAAACUCUUUAUGCUUUGACAUCAAGUACAAAAAUAAUUAAAGAAGCAAUGGCAAAAGGAGCUUUGAUUUAUUUACUAGAUAUGUUCUGCAAUUCAACACAUCCACAGGUUCGAGCGCAAACAGCGGAACUUUUUGCUAAAAUGACAGCAGAUAAACUAAUAGGUCCAAAGGUUCGACUUACAUUAAUGAAAUUUCUGCCAAGCGUUUUCAUGGAUGCCAUGAGAGACAGCCCCGAAGCUGCUGUCCAUAUUUUUGAAGGAACUCAUGAAAAUCCGGAGUUAAUUUGGAAUGAUAGUUCUAGAGAUAAAGUGUCCACAACAGUUAGAGAAAUGAUGCUAGAGCACUUUAAAAAUCAGCGAGACAACCCGGAUAUAAACUGGAAGUUGCCUGAAGAUUUUACUGUGGUGUUUGGAGAAGCAGAGGGUGAACUUGCUGUUGGAGGAGUUUUCUUGAGAAUCUUUAUUGCACAACCAGCUUGGGUUCUAAGAAAACCUAGAGAAUUUCUUAUUGCACUACUAGAAAAAUUAACUGAGCUGCUGGAGAAGAACAAUCCUCAUGGGGAAACUCUGGAAACUUUGACAAUGGCUACAGUAUGUCUCUUCAAUGCACAGCCUCAGCUGGCUGAUCAAGUCCCACCAUUGGGCCAUCUUCCCAAAGUCAUCCAGGCAAUGAAUCACAGGAACAACGCCAUUCCUAAGAGUGCCAUGCGAGUUAUCCAUGCCCUGUCUGAAAACGAGCUGUGUGUUCGAGCCAUGGCAUCUUUAGAGACCAUUGGUCCUCUGAUGAAUGGAAUGAAAAAGCGACCGGAUAUUGUUGGUCUAGCCUGUGAAGCAAUUAAUCGAAUGUUUCAGAAGGAGCAGAGUGAAUUGGUAGCACAAGCCCUGAAAGCAGAUUUGGUCCCAUACCUCUUGAAAUUACUUGAAGGCAUUGGCCUCGAAAAUCUGGACAGUCCAGCAGCCACUAAGGCUCAGAUUGUUAAAGCCCUCAAGGCCAUGACUCGAAGCCUGCAGCAUGGAGAACAGGUGAAUGAAAUCCUGUCUCGUUCAUCAGUCUGGAGUGCCUUCAAAGACCAGAAACAUGAUUUAUUUAUUUCUGACUCACAAACAGCAGGAUACCUCACAGGUGUCUCUCCUUCCCUUCUAACUGGCAGCAGCCCCCUUCACCUCAGGAGCGGGCUUUAGAUCCGCUCUGCCAGGCAGCUUGCUAACUUCUGUGUAGCUCUCUGACGCAGGACCUGGAGUUGCUGGCUACCUUACCGCAGGCACAUCCUCGUCAGUCAUGUCUAACCUGCCGCCUCCCGUAGACCAUGAGGCAGGCGACCUUGGCUAUCAGACUUGAAAUCCUCGUGAGAGACAUUACGCUGAAAGGCCAGUCGGUGCCCAGUCCACAUUCCUCCAGCUGACACGUUGAAGCAAACUCUUACUGCCUUCCUCCUGAUUUCAUGACAGUGUUAUUCCUUUUUCUAUGAAAAUAUUUUUAUUUAGGAAAAGUCAGUGAUUCCAGUUGUAUCACACUAUAAGAAAGCACUCUGUGGAUCAACCUAAGUGGGUACACAAGAAUUUCUUUCUUGAUGUAUGUAAGCACAUUGCUCCUUUAUAUCUGUUUACAAGACUGUGAAUCAAAAAGACAAAAUCUUCCUAAUUUUUAUAAUGUUUUUUUUUGAAUUAGUGUGACUGUGGGGUUGCACUACAGUCUAUAGAAACUGGGCUAAGUCACUCGUUCCUGGAAAAGGGCAUUUUCCUCUCCUGAAUCGAGUCCACAUGGCUGUCCUCUCAUGGUCGAACACUAUUAGGGCUUGUCCCUGCAUCUGUUCACUGGUCCCCUCCCGAGGCUCACAGUCCACGUCGUAUGUACAGCUGGCUCCAAAUUGAAUGAGAAAGGAGCUUGAGCAAAAAAUUUAAAAACAGAUGUCAAGAUGUUCGGUAAGAGAUUAGUGUAAUUGUGAAAUGUUCUAUACAUUAUCAAAUAUAUAAAGCUUUCUAUAUUGAAUGUACAUUAUAUAGAUCAUUCAUAUGUGUACAUAAAAUUUUAAAAUAAAGGGAAUUGACUGCUUUGUUAAUGAGA
This is an RNA transcript of Myotis myotis, 7859 nucleotides long. It is a transcript of the gene named DnaJ heat shock protein family (Hsp40) member C13, with no coding region annotated. The record is from RefSeq and is a predicted model, not a curated record. Lineage: Eukaryota; Metazoa; Chordata; Mammalia; Chiroptera; Vespertilionidae. The transcript has 58 exons.